UUUAAUCCUGCUUCCAGGUUAUUUCCUCUUCCAUAGGUGUUUUGAGAUGCUUUGAGUUCAGUGUCAGAAGUUUCAGAUGUUAUUCUGUGGAGAGUCAUGUCACAGUUCUUCUCUGUUUCUUUUCCUUGGCAGCUGCUAGUAAAUCUCAGUGUGGUCCAUCCAGUCUUUGGUGAGCACAGGUACACUUUUAUGAAAUUCAUCUUAUUUGCUGCUUGGUGGCAGGACUCAGCACCCUGCUGCAAUGUGAAAAACCAGAUUGGCUUUGCUGCUUUCCCAUGCAAACCCAGAGGAUGUGAGAGUGAGCAGAGCACCAGCAGUCACUUCUCUGCAGCAAGUGCCACUCUGAGCACAAUGAGAGCGUGACAGGGGCUGCUGCAGAGGGCUGGGAAGGUGCAUCCUGUGCACAGCAGCCACUGCUGCUCUGACAGUGCAGGGGUGUCAAAUGCAUUGUGCUGCAGACAGGUGCAGAGAAGUGCUGCCACAUAUUGCAGUCUCUGUGGCUCGUCUCCUUAGUGUGGCUGAUGUUUGUUUAAGUGGCAACUUCUAGCUCUAGAGAUCUGCUUCAUCUGCUCCCUUCACCAGCACACCUGAAUGGUCACCCUUCAGAGUUUUGUGUGCUCAUCUCAGCAUUUUGGCAGAGUGAGCAUGGAUGUGAUUUCAGUGGCAGCUGCCCUGUGUCAGCGUUAUAGAGAUAACCAUGAGCAAGGUUACUCCAGGGUGGAAGGCCUUAGAACCACUGCAUGUGAACAAACUGCUGCCUGGGGAGGAAGGACCCUUGGCUGUAUUCAAUGUUUGCUCUGGGUUCAGCUUGCUUCAGAGGUCUUUAGAAGUAGUUUCACACUUCAUCCUUUCUUUUUUGACAGCUGGGAUGUUCUGAAAUCAUCCUGUCCAUGGCAGGGAUUCUCAGGUCCUGAGCUGAAAUUUGCAACAUGGCAAAGAAGAGUUUGCCAUCCAAAUAUCCAGUGGCAACAGGUGUGGUGAGAAACCGAGGCACAGAAAAGAAUAGCCAAGGCAGAGUCACAGCAAGAGCUCAAAUGCUCUUAGUGGCAGUUCUGGCAAACCCAGCUAUAGCAGUACUUCUUCUUCCUUUUACUGGUAUUUUAAAUAGUGUCCAUCCCAGCUGUUCCUUGGAAGGAUGAUGGUGCCUCGAGAGCAGAAAGCAGUGAUUGUUAUUCCUUGAUGGACAGUGUUACCAGGAAAUGUUUGAUUUUGAGAGCCAUGGUGUUGGGAUGUGACAGGAGAGUAAUUUUCACAGUGUGUAACUGGCACAGCCGUUGCUAAAUGCUGCAUGACCUGGAGGCACACAAAUAGCAGAUUGUUUGGAGGAAGGGAGAGGUGAAGAAACAUUACAUGAAGCUUAUCUAGGGAAGACGAGAUUCUUGGGAAGAGAUGUGUUAAAAUGAAGCUGAGGUUUUAGGAGGGAAGGCCUGUGCUGCCACAUUCCUGCUUUUCCUACUUAGGAUUCCCGAAAUCCUAAGUAGAAGUGUGGGACUGAGUCUCUAUAAGGUGCAAGUUGUAUAUAAGAGGCAAACUGAGCAUUUCUGCUCAAUGCCUGCACUUCAGCAGGUGUGUGCAGCCCCUUCUGCAGUGUGAUGGAUUCCUGGUGGGCCACAGGUGAUGGCAAGCAACACUGGACAGGGCACAGAACUCUUGUUCAUCAGGAGCAGAGCACUCUGACUGUCACAAAGAUGCCACUGGCCUGAGUUUCUAUAAGCACAGUUUCUUUGGAAGUUGCCAGGCUGGGUGUAAUUUAUAGGGGAGGCAGAACUUCUCUUCUCAAGGCAUGUCCUCAGCAGUGGGUGAUUUUUGAUUCCCACUUUACGUCAUCUGCUGCCUAGAGUUUUAGCUCCCCACCUGCUUCUUCUUCCUUUCUGGGUGGUCAGCUUGUCUCCCAUGUUUUGUAUAUGCACAGCAGCGUGCUCACAGUGGGACAUGUCCAUCAGCUUGGUAGCACAGUGCCUGUGGCUAUGGAGUCCUUACCUUGGCAGCCUGAGCUGCUGCAGGAGCUGCAGUACCCAGUAGUGCUGGUGGGAGAGUGGCUUCUGCCAUCCUCUCUGUUCUUACUGGAAUACUCAUGUGAGACUGUGUGGAAUGUGAACAUAGCUGCUUGGGUUGUUGAAAAAGGCUUGAAUUAUUAUAAAAUUCCUGGCCUGACAUUUGGCUGAUGAUUAAUUACCCAGGUUUGCGUAGUACUGUGGUGUUCCAGAUGUAAACCCAGAACAAGCUGUUACAACUGUGUUGACCUCAGUGGAGUCAUCGAAGUCAUUCCAGUUGGCACACCUGGUGAUGUGUGGUAUUUGUAUUCUGUGAAACCAGCAUCCAGUCAUUGAUUUAAGUCUUUCCAGGGACUGGAGGCUCUUAAGCUGUUAAUCUUUUUUCCUCUCCUGUAUUGAUUGCUGUGCCACUUACUAAGAGUGACCUUCUCACCACACCUUUUGACUUUGAGCUUGCUGCCUCUGUGGAACCCUUCUCUGAGCCUUUGCAGUUUGUGGUGUUUGUAUUGCCACAGUGCUUAGAAACUCCUCACAGGUUGCUCCAUUUCUCUCUUAAGUUUUCCCUUCUCCACUCCCCCACCAGUAUCUUCUGUAACUCUCCCCCAGCCAAUGCUGUUGGCUUGCAUAGAUAAAUGUCUUGAUGCUGGAUAAUUUGGAGUAACCUUGGCACAGAAAAAUCCCCCUCUAAAAUGCAGUUGAAUCUCGCAUUGUCCUUCAGCAAUUUUGCAGCUGGUGAAGUUUCUGGGUGGAGUCCUGGUGCUGGCAUGUGCUCUGCCUGAAAAAAGCAAAUUUCAUACUUCAUUCAAACAAGGCUUCUUCAUUUAAUGUGGAUGGGCAGCAGGCACUCAGGCUGAAAGUAGAUUUUAUACUUUAACUUCCAGGUCAGUGGGUUUUUGUCUUGUUUGUGUCAGCAGAGAGUAGCCCUUUUUUCAGCAGCACAACUUUUUCCACCUCAGCAACGCACACACACACACAUGUGAUACAGGUCCUGAGUUGUGCAAUAAACUCCAGCAAAUAUAUUGUUUGCUCCACUUCAGGGCUUGGUUGUGUGCCCUAUUGACCAGCAAUAAAGCCAACAGUAUAGAGGUAGUUAUUUACUCAUUUACUUUGGCUUUUCCAUCCAUGGUUGUUGUCUAUGUGGGGAAAAAAAAACCCCAUAAGUCCUAUGAGAAGGAAAAUUUUGUCUGUAGAGAGGUGGUCUUGGAAACUUGUGAAAGCUGGAUAACUUAUUAGCAUUAGUCAAGUAUUAAGUUAAAUAUUUAAUUUAGUAAUUAUGUAAUUUUGUUGCUGAGGAGGGACAGGGCUAUGGUCAGGGUAGUCAUGAGCACAAAAAUUAAAAGAUGAAGGUGUCUAGAAUAAUGUCCUGUAGUGUGCUGGGGUCCUGACUACAAAACAACUGCUUGGAAUCCCAUUUUAGCAGGGAUUGGUGCUUGCUGGCACCUUCCUCUGCAGAGUCUGGAAAGGCAGGAGGGGAGGCCUCAUCCCUCACUCAUGCUGGGCCUUUUCCUGAGCCCCUCUGGAAGCUGUGGACACUUGCCAGUAGAGCCAUGAGCAUUCCCAUGUGGAUGGGGUCAUACAUCCCACACCGGGCACGACACUUCUCCCUGUCCAGGUCUGGCCUGCUGCUCCGUGCAGCUGGAGGGCAGAGGGGUGAAGGAACCCCUGUUCUCCAUCCUUCUCCAGUCUGGCAGUGCCUCACUGCUCCAGCGAGGCUCUGCUCAGCCUGGGGCCAGCUGUGCCUGCCCUGCCGUAACCUCCCUAUUUGUGCUGUGGAUCCCUGCAGAAUUCCCUCCGUCCAGAUCCUCUUGGACUUUGUUCCCAGCAGAAAAUCCUGCUCAGGCUUCUUGGAAUUAAGGCACAUGAGUCUAACUAACUCAGAAUUGCUGUUUCCUGAGAAGUUCUGACACUGUAAAGAUUGUUUGGCUUUUUUUUUUUUUUCUUUUCCCUGUAAUCUGAAUGAAAUAAUGUUUAAAAUUUCCUAUGAGGACACUGUGUCCCAGAUUUUGAGUUUCAGAAGUGUUUUGCUCUGGGAUUUCUGAAUGCUUGUUUUAGUUAUAUCCAUUUUAAGUCAUGGUACUGCUUAUGCUUCCUGUUGAUUUGCUAAGUAAAGCCUAGUAGCAGGUCACAGUACAUGUAUUAUAUUAAAAAAUGGUAGUUACUUUUUAAAAUCAAUAACAACAGCAGCUGCUUAAUAUGAUUGAAACAUUUUAUUCCCUAGAACAAGAACUGCCUUGUUUGCAAUGUAAUGAGAAUCUGGCACUGCCGUUAAAACACCCAGAAAUGGUUUAAUCUAGAACACUGGGUAAUGUUUUAUA
Long non-coding RNA from Taeniopygia guttata (zebra finch), 4309 nucleotides. NCBI's taxonomy places the organism in Eukaryota, Metazoa, Chordata, Aves, Passeriformes, Estrildidae. The record is from Ensembl.